AUUGAACGCUAGCGGCACGCCUAACACAUGCAAGUCGAACGGCAGCGUGUCUCACUUUCGGGUGAGAUGACGGCGAGUGGCGGACGGGUGAGUAAUACGUAGGAAUCUGCCUUGAAGUGGGGGACAACCACGCGAAAGCGUGGCUAAUACCGCAUAAUAUCUAAGGAUCAAAGCUGGGGACCGUAAGGCCUGGCACUUUGAGAUGAGCCUACGUUGGAUUAGCUUGUUGGUGAGGUAAAGGCUCACCAAGGCAACGAUCUAUAGCUGGUCUGAGAGGACGAUCAGCCACACGGGGACUGAGACACGGCCCAGACUCCUACGGGAGGCAGCAGUGGGGAAUCUUGGACAAUGGGGGCAACCCUGAUCCAGCGAUGCCGCGUGUGUGAAGAAGGCCUUCGGGUUGUAAAGCACUUUUAGUAGGGAAGAAAGAUUUUUAUUAAAUAGAUUAAAAUUUUGACAUUACUUACAGAAAAAGCACCGGCUAACUCUGUGCCAGCCGCCGCGGUAA
RNAcentral lists this ribosomal RNA (508 nucleotides) under uncultured bacterium. RNAcentral's name for it is "partial 16S ribosomal RNA". It matches the Rfam family "Bacterial small subunit ribosomal RNA", at positions 30 to 523 of the family's 1533-position model. The record is from RNAcentral.